AUGUUCGUGUUUUCCCGGAACCUCAUCCACUCUACGCACUUCCACUCAGCCACAAAUACUUACCUUCAGCUCUAUUCCCCGCAGUUCCUGUGCCAUCCUCUCCUGCUGCUCACCGUCAUCAUCCGGAUUCCUCACCACCUCACCACCAUCUUGGAUUGUUGUCUUCCCAGCAUCAUUGUCUUUUUCCUGUUUGUUUAUUUAUUUUCAUUGAAUCGUCUAACUCGCUAUUGUUUCCAGUCCGUCCUUCACCCCACCGUCACACUACGUCCACCACCCGAUCAAGCUGGUCUUGAACAUCUGAAGCAAUCUUCGCAAGAGCAUAGAUAGUUAUCCGUCGGAGAUUUUCACCAUCAGCUUCAUUUAAUCCAUGCAAUUUGAGGGACCAUCGUCAAGUGUAACGUUGAGCCUCUGCUAUAUUAGACUUCAAAGUCACAUUUUCAUCCUUUAAAGCUUGCAUUUCUUUCUCCAUCAGGGAUAACCAUUCGUCGUGAGAGUUAACUUCGACGAUGAGCUGUUGCACAGAAGUUGCUAAACUGUCCACCUUGGCCGAAGUGAGCUCUGUAGUUUUCUUAAUCGACAAAACUUUUAAAUGCAUUUUAUUGAGUUUCAAGCCAAGUGCAUGAAUAGCUUCAAGCACUUCUGAAGUGUUCUCAGAAUCAGGUUUCGCACUGACUCGAUUACUUUUUUUUGGCUGGAGAAUCAGUUUUUUGGGGUGUUUCAGGCAGACUAGGGAAAUCGGCCAGGCAACAGGGUUCCAUAACGGACUCAUGAGCAAGUUCCAUCUCGUUAGCAUCAACGUUGCAAGGAGAGGAGUGUUUCCUACUUCUUCUUUUGCUGUCUCUUUAUGCCAUUAAGAUCUAAGCGGUAUCUUCAUAUAAAUAAAGUAAA
Molecule: long non-coding RNA, 888 nt
Organism: Cyprinus carpio carpio
Lineage: Eukaryota; Metazoa; Chordata; Actinopteri; Cypriniformes; Cyprinidae
Source: Ensembl